This 464-nucleotide ribosomal RNA is filed under the name uncultured bacterium. RNAcentral's name for it is "partial 16S ribosomal RNA". It matches the Rfam family "Bacterial small subunit ribosomal RNA", at positions 28 to 506 of the family's 1533-position model. The record is from RNAcentral.
GACGAACGCUGGCGGCGUGCUUAACACAUGCAAGUCGAACGGAAAGGCCCCGUUGGGGGUCCUCGAGUGGCGAACGGGGGCGUAACACGUGAGUAACCUUCCCUUGACUUCGGGAUAACUUCAGGAAACUGGGGCUAAUACCGGAUAGGAAUCCUUGCUGCAUGGUGGGGGUUGGAAAGCUUCGGCGGUUUUGGAUGGACUCGCGGCUUAUCAGCGUGUUGGUGGGGUAGUGGCUUACCACGGCGUUGACGGGUAGCCGGCCUGAGAGGGCGACCGGCCACAUUGGGACUGAGAUACGGCCCAGUCUCCUACGGGAGGCAGCAGUGGGGAAUAUUGCACAAUGGGCGGAAGCCUGAUGCAGCAACGCCGCGUGCGGGAUGACGGCCUUCGGGUUGUGAACCGCUUUCAGCAGGGGCGAAGCUUGUGGUGACGGUACCUGCAGAAGAAGCACCGGCUAACUACGU